UAGGGAAUCUUCCGCAAUGGACGAAAGUCUGACGGAGCAACGCCGCGUGAGCGAAGAAGGCCUUCGGGUCGUAAAGCUCUGUUGUCAGGGAAGAACAAGUACCGGAGUAACUGCCGGUACCUUGACGGUACCUGACGAGAAAGCCACGGCUAACUACGUG
This 160-nucleotide ribosomal RNA is filed under the name uncultured bacterium. RNAcentral's name for it is "partial 16S rRNA". It matches the Rfam family "Bacterial small subunit ribosomal RNA", at positions 355 to 507 of the family's 1533-position model. The record is from RNAcentral. RNAcentral also lists the same sequence under 1 other name.